RNAcentral lists this unclassified non-coding RNA (209 nucleotides) under Glomeraceae sp. RNAcentral's name for it is "partial contains 5.8S ribosomal RNA and internal transcribed spacer 2". The stretch from base 1 to 71 matches the Rfam family "5.8S ribosomal RNA", at positions 84 to 154 of the family's 154-position model. The record is from RNAcentral. Lineage: Eukaryota; Fungi; Glomeromycota; Glomeromycetes; Glomerales; Glomeraceae.
GUGAAUCAUCAAAUUUUUGAACGCAAAUUGCACUCCCUGGUAUUCCGGGGAGUAUGCCUGUUUGAGGGUUGUUAGAAUAAAAAAUUGAGGCGUCGUUCUUUUUUUGAGUGUGAUGUCGUCGGUAUUGAGACGUCUUUCAAAUGUUAAUGCAUGUCAAAGUGGCUUUAAAUACAUUCAUCUGGUAUGAUUAAAACGUAUUUAAGAUCAUU